GCUCCAACACGUGGGAGAUAUAGCCGCAUCGUGGGCGUUACACCUCCUCAGCCACUCCCAUCGCACUCUCAUGGCUAAUCCUUGCAACUUUAGGUUCUUGACUCCCAAUCCUCCAAAGCCAGUUGGUCUGCAAAGAGUUUGCCAUGCCACCAAACAUUGCCCACCGUUCACUGAUUCCUUCCCUGCCCAGAAAAAGGCACGCAUCCAUUUGUCGAUCUCUUCAUAUACCCAUUGGGGCGCGUCCAUGACUAGCAAGUGAUGUACCGGGCGUUCCGAUAUCACACUCUUGACAAGCACAAGUCUGUCGGGCCUCUGGAUCAGCCCCCUUUGCCAUGCUGGUAUGAAUCUCUUUGCCUGAUCGAGUAUGGGCUGUCAGUCCACUCGGGUGAGCUGAUGGACGCUAAGUUGAAGACCAAGAUAUUUGCAUGGCCAAUCUUCCAUCCGGCAGUUCAAAUACAUAUUAAACACUUAUCCUAAUAAAUCAUGAGCAUUCAAAAAAUGCAUGUUUGAACAUUUUUUAAUACACAUUUGAACAUUUCAAAAAAACUCAUGAACAUUUCUUUUGAAGCUUGCAAACAUUUUGUAUGUGUUACUGGUUUUUUUACUAAAUGGUGUGAUUUAUUUGUAUGCUAUGAACACUUUUCUAGAAUUUCAAGAUUUUUGUUUUACAUGCCAUGAUUGUUUUAAUGCCAAGAGCCAUAUUUCAAAAUGUGUGAACAUUUUAUAAAUGCCUUGAGUGAUCUUUUGAAUAGAAGGAAUAUAUUUCACAAACUACGCAAACAUUUUUUUUGCAUAUUAACGAACAUUNNNNNNNNNNNNNNNNNNNNNNNNNNNNNNNNNNNNNNNNNNNNNNNNNNNNNNNNNNNNNNNNNNNNNNNNNNNNNNNNNNNNNNNNNNNNNNNNNNNNNNNNNNNNNNNNNNNNNNNNNNNNNNNNNNNNNNNNNNNNNNNNNNNNNNNNNNNNNNNNNNNNNNNNNNNNNNNNNNNNNNNNNNNNNNNNNNNNNNNNNNNNNNNNNNNNNNNNNNNNNNNNNNNNNNNNNNNNNNNNNNNNNNNNNNNNNNNNNNNNNNNNNNNNNNNNNNNNNNNNNNNNNNNNNNNNNNNNNNNNNNNNNNNNNNNNNNNNNNNNNNNNNNNNNNNNNNNNNNNNNNNNNNNNNNNNNNNNNNNNNNNNNNNNNNNNNNNNNNNNNNNNNNNNNNNNNNNNNNNNNNNNNNNNNNNNNNNNNNNNNNNNNNNNNNNNNNNNNNNNNNNNNNNNNNNNNNNNNNNNNNNNNNNNNNNNNNNNNNNNNNNNNNNNNNNNNNNNNNNNNNNNNNNNNNNNNNNNNNNNNNNNNNNNNNNNNNNNNNNNNNNNNNNNNNNNNNNNNNNNNNNNNNNNNNNNNNNNNNNNNNNNNNNNNNNNNNNNNNNNNNNNNNNNNNNNNNNNNNNNNNNNNNNNNNNNNNNNNNNNNNNNNNNNNNNNNNNNNNNNNGAACAUCUUUUUUAAUGUGUAGUGAACAUUAAAGAAAUAGGUAAAGUACUUUUAAGAACUUAAUUAUUUAAAAUAUUUCAAAAUAUCAAAUAUAUACUUCUAUAAAUAGGUAAAGAAACAGAUCGAUAGUAGUCAUGGCUACCAAAGGGGUCUGGCCUAUUAGCAUUUUGGAAACUCUGUGUAGUUUUUGGAAGGUUCCGUCAGUUGUUUUCUAUUUGUAUGUAUUUUCUCUACAUGGUUUUAUCUGUUUAUCUAAGGAUUUUCAUAUGUUUUCCCCUUUUCGUUACAUUUUCAAAUACAUGUCAACUUCUUUAAACACAGGUUAAGCACUUUUUUCCCGAUUGCACAUUUUCCAAAUAUCAUGAACAUCUUUUUUUAAUACAUCUUGAACAUUUCUAAACAAAUAUUGAACAUUUUUAUAUAUGCCAUUAUUUUUUUAAAUAUGGGGAGAAUACUUUUUGAAGAUAAAUUGAACCUUUUUCACAAACAUGUCAAAUAUUUAUCUAAAUACAUGGUGAACAUUUUCCUAAAUAGGUUGAGCAUGUUUAAGAUAGCAAUUAAAUAUUUCACAAAUACACAUGAAUUUUUUUAAUGCAUGAUAAUCAUUGUUUAAACAUAUGACAAACAUUUUUUAAAAUUUAUGAUGAAUUUUUAUGAAGUAACUUUAUCUUUUUUAUGAUACGCGGUUGUACAUUUUUAAAUACAUAAUGAACAUUUUUUAAUUACAUGAUGAACAUUUUACUAUAUACAUGAUGACCAUUUUCAAUAGAUUAGUAAAAUUAGAAUAUAUAUGUAAUCAAAAACGAAAAGAGAGCUAUAUCUUGUUUCAUGCGAGAUGGAAGCUCCUCUCGUGUGAAGGGAAUAGGCCUUCGUGAAGCAACUGGGCCGAUAUGUUUCCUUUUUUAUUUGCUUCGCUGGCUGGUGACGUGUGAAUGCUUCGCUGGCUCGCUGUCUGUUCGCUCACAGUCGUUUCUUUUCUCUAUUCCUAAUGGACCAGUUGGUAGCCUGGUACUCCGGUUUUAUUUUCGUUCGGUUUUAUUUUCUCCCACCUCCCACCACCCCGUACCAUUGGUUUUAAACUACGUAUCGACAAAAAACCAGAUCGAUGCACCAACGAGGACCCGAUCCGCUCCUCGUUUCCCACAUCCGUCCUGGAUCACGAGAACGCCGCCGCCGCUGCCGCCUCACAUACGUCGCCCGUGGCGGAUCACCAACAAUACCGUCGCGGAUCGGCAGCCCGCCGCCACCGCCGCCUCAGGUACCCACACACCACGAUCCCAUCGCGGAUCAGCAGGCCGCCGCCACCGCCAAGUCAGGUACCCACACACCACGAUCCCGUCGCGGGUCAGCAAGACACCGCCGCCACUGCCUCGGGCAGCCACACGCCACAGAUCUCCGACGACGACGCCUAUGGCGGCAAGCAGUGCAGGGCGUCUUCACUGAUCAGUUUUCAACCUUGCUUUCUUAAAGGUACGUACGCUCAUGAUCUCUUAAAGAUCACGCAACGCUACAAAAGACAAUUGUCACCAGAUGGAGCCAUAUGCAACAGAGCCAUAUACGAUGGAGCCACCAGAUGGAGCGAUACGAAUAAAUGUUCCCCAUGUUACCAGUUCGAACACCAAAAAUACAUCCCAAGACAAUAAAUGUUUUAUCAGAUGUAUACACUGUAGUCAUUUCUUCCCUAUGUUCGCAGUUGGAACACCAAAAAUACAUGGCAAGCCAAUUGUUUAGUAUACAUACCACAUCAAUUCUAAUACUGUUGAAAAAUGAUAGGUACGAAUGGGAAAUGCAAAUAGCAAGGCGCCGGAAGAGAAAAGAGUGUCAGAUGUGCCUGUACCCCCUCUUGCCGACCUACAUUCACAAGGCAGCCAAGGUACGUUAGAAUAACAUAAAUGAGUCAGAUGUCAAGGGUGCCCAACAAUCAUUGUAUCUCGCUAAUGUGUUCCAGGCAAUAAUGUUGACGGAAGUGUCGAUGAAUACAACCCAGCAAUAAUUCCCGUAGCUGACAAUGUUGACAAUUAUCAAAUGACUCCAGGUAUUGGAGUCUGUAAAUACCCCUAUCUGUUGUAUCAUAUGGUUUUAACAUGAUCAAUCGAACCUAACAGACUUGGAAGCACACAAGGAAAUAGAUGGAACUGGCAUGCCACGGAUAGAGCAGGACGAGCUUGCAAACCUAACCAAACACCCUCUUUCUGAUAUAACAAUUGAUGAUCAGCCUGGGCAUGCGAGUUUACGUACGUGGGUUCCAUAUUUAAACACACUAUCUACCCUAUUCGGUUAGCAGGAAACUGCCUCAUUCUGUACUGGUUUUGUUUUGUAGACAACCCAUCAAUCUCCUUCUGUAGCCCUGAUGUUGCUUCGCUCCCUGAUCCGAGUACUCUCACAGAUAUUUUUGCCUGCGGCCUUGCAGGAAGUUCAUUUGGUAUGGUCUGACACGUGCAUCAUGGACAGUGAUCAAACGUCUCUAUGAAUGUACAUGUUGACUAAUUCUCAUCAAGAUUUGUUGUUUAUACAUCGUGCAGACAAUAAUGUGCCUUCGUUCCCGGAUAGGAGUACUCUUGCAUCACUUUAUGCCGCAGGUCACUUUAUGCCUUUCAUAUGGCCAGAUUUGUGCUUAAAGGGAUGCAUGUUCAUGUAUUAGCCUAACCGACAUAUUUUCUUUUGUUCCUGCAGCCAGAGAGUCUGCCCACAAUGAUGUGUGUCUUAAUGCCCUUGGUUGUGGUGGUUCAGAGCUUGUGACAUCGUCUACCCCAACAUGUGAUGUAUACCCAACUCAUUCCGAGACAACAUGUGCUAUUGUGAAUGACCAAGUGAGUUAUAGCAUAACAGACGACAAAAGGGAGCAGAGAAACGCACGACCGCGAGCAACUUAUCGAAAGAAAAAGGAUGAACAGGUCAAGCUCCAAAAUGAAAAGCAGGCUGUUUCCCGACCCCCUCUUGGUGAUAUCACUAAUAUUGAUCAGCCUUCCGUUUCAAUGCCAGGUACGGGUGUUUAAAGUUAUGAGCUUACGGCGGUGACAAACCAAAUUUGGGAAUCAAAUAUUAGAAUACGCACUUUUAGCUUUGACUUACAAUAAUUGAUUCGAUAUGAAGUUAAAAACUGGAGUUUGAUAUAUGAACGGUCAAGAAAUGUCAUAUAUCGGAAUGCUUAAAAAAACAUCUGCGGUGUUAGAAAGACGUAAAUGGAUUUAAAAAUUAAAUUAGAUUUACCGGCACUCAAGAAGGUGAAUAAGAUGAUAGAUGGUUCUCGAUUUGUCGGAGAAAGAAACAAUGUGGAGUAUGAAACAUUAACUAUCACAACGUCAGUAGCAAACAUUGAUAUGAAAUAGAUGUAUAGUACCCAAGAUGGGUAUAUUAUCAAUUGGGCCAAGUUCUCCAUUGGCACUGCAUGUAUUUUUUUCUCUCGUUGCAAUGGCAAAAUAGAAAAAAUUAUGUAAGCGGACUUGCCAAUGUUCACCAGAUCGACGCACCUCCCACCACCCUGUACCACUGGUUUUAAACUACAUAUCGACAAAAAACCAGAUCGACGCACCAACGAGGACCCGAUCCGCUCCUCGUUUCCCACGUCCGUAAUGGAUCACGAGAACGCCGCCGCCGCUGCCGCCUCACAUACGUCGCCAGUGGCAGAUCACGAACAAUACCGUCGCGGAUCGGCAGGCCGCCGCCGCCUCAGGUACCCACACACCACGAUCCCGUCGCGGAUCAGCAGGCCGCCGCCGCCGCCAAGUCAGGUACCCACACACCACGAUCCCGUCGUGGGUCAGCAAGACACCGCCGCCACCGCCUCGGGCAGCCACACGCCACAGAUCUCCGACGACGAUGCCUACGGCGGCAAGCAGUGCAGGGCGUCUUCACUGAUCAGUUUUCAACCUUGCUUUCUUAAAGGUACGUAUGCUCAUGAUCUCUUAAAGAUCACGCAAGGCUACAAAAGACAAUUGUCACCAGAUGGAGCCAUAUGCAACAGAGCCAUAUACGAUGGAGCCACCAGAUGGAGCCAUACGAAUAAAUGUUCCGCAUGUUCCCAGUUCGAACACCAAAAAUACAUCCCAAGACAAUAAAUGUUUAUCAGAUGUAUACAGUGUAGUCAUUUCUUCCCUAUGUUCGCAGUUGGAACACCAAAAAUACAUGGCAAGCCAAUUGUUCAGUAUACAUACCACAUCAAUUCUAAUGCUGUUGAAAAAUGAUAGGUACGAAUGGGAAAUGCAAAUAGCAAGGCGCCGGAAGAGAAAAGAGUGUCAGAUGUGCUUGUACCCCCUCUUGCUGACCUACAUUCACAAGGGAGCCAAAGUACGUUAGAAUAACAUAAAUGAGUCAGAUGUCAAGGGUGCCCAACAAUCAUUGUAUCUCGCUAAUGUGUUCUAGGCCAUAAUGUUGACGAAAGUGUUGAUGAAUACAACCCAGCAAUAAUUCCCGUAGCUGACAAUGUUGACAAUUAUCAAAUGACUCCAGGUAUUGGAGUCUGUAAAUACCCCUAUCUGUUGUAUCAUAUAGUUUUAACAUGAUCAAUCGUGCCUAACAGACUUGGAAGCACACAAGGAAACAGAUGGAACUGGCAUGCCACGGAUAGAGCAGGACGAGCUUGCAAACCUAACCAAACACCCUCUUUCUGAUAUAACAAUUGCUGAUCAGCCUGGGCAUGCGAGUUUAGUAUGUGGGUUCCAUAUUUAAACACACUAUCUACCCUAUUCGGUUAGCAGGAAACUGCCUCAUUCUGUACUGGUUUUGUUUUAUAGACAACCCAUCAAUCUCCUUCUGUAGCCCUGAUGUUGCUUCGUUCCCUGAUCCGAGUACUCUCACAGCUAUUUUUGCCUGCGGCCUUGCAGUAAGUUCAUUUGGUAUGAUCUGACACGUGCAUCAUGGACAGUGAUCAAACGUCUCUAUGAAUGUACAUGUUGACUAAUUCUCAUCAAGAUUUGUUGUUUAUACAUCGUGCAGACAAUAAUGUGCCUUCAUUCCCGGAUAGGAGUACUCUUGCAUCACUUUAUGCCGCAUGUCACUUUAUGCCUUUCAUAUGGCCAGAUUUGUGCUUAAAGGGAUGCAUGUUCAUGUAUUAGCCUAACCGACAUAUUUUCUUUUGUUCCUGUAGCCAGAGAGUCUGCCCACAAUGAUGUGUGUCUUAAUGCCCUUGGUUGUGGUGGUUCAGAGCUUGUGACAUCGUCUACCCCAACAUGUGAUGUAUACCCAACUCAUUCCGAAACAACAUGUGUUGUUGUGAAUGACCAAGUGAGUUAUAGCAUAACAAACGACAAAAGGGAGCAGAGAAACGCACGACGGCGAGCAACUUAUUGAAAGAAAAAGGAUGAACAGGUCAAGCUCCAAAAUGAAAAGCAGACUAUUUCCCGACCCCCUCUUGGUGAUAUCAUUAAUAUUGAUCAGCCUUCCGGUUCAAUACCAGGUGCGGGUGUUUAAAGUUAUGAGCUUACGGCGGUGACAAACCAAAUUUGGGAAUCAAAUAUUAGAAUACGCACUUUUAGCUUUGACUUACAAUAAUUGAUUCAAUAUGAAGUUAAAAACUGGAGUUUGAUAUAUGAACGGUCAAGAAAUGUCAUAUAUCGGAAUGCUUAAAAAAACAUCUGCAGUGUUAGAAAGAUGUAAAUGGAUUUAAAAAAAUAAAUUAGAUUUACCGGCACUCAAGAAGGUGAAUAAUAUGAUAGAUAGUUCUCGAUUUGUCGGAGAAAGAAACAAAUGUGGAGUAUGAAACAUUAACUAUCACAACGUCAGUAGAAAACAUUGAUAUGAAAUAGAUGUAUAGUACCGAAGAUGGGUAUAUUAUCAAUUGGGUCAAGUUCUCCAUUGGCACUGCAUGUAUUUUUUUCUCUCGUUGCAAUGGCAAAAUAGAAAAAUUUAUGUAAGCGGACUUGCCAAUGUUCACCAGAUCGACGCACCUCCCACCAUCCCGUACCACUGGUUUUAAACUACGUAUCGACAAAAAACCAGAUCGACGCACCAACGAGGACCCGAUCCGCUCCUCGUUUCCCACGUCCGUCCUGGAUCACGAGAACGCCGCCGCCGCUGCUGCCUCACAUACGUCGCCGGUGGCAGAUCACGAACAAUACCGUCGCGGAUCGGCAGGCCGCCGCCGCUUCAGGUACCCACACACCACGAUCCCGUCGUGGAUCAGCAGGCCGCCGCCGCCGCCAAGUCAGGUACCCACACACCAUGAUCCCAUCGUGGGUCAGCAAGACACCGCCGCCACCGCCUCGGGCAGCCACACGCCACAGAUCUCCGACGACGACGCCUACGGCGGCAAGCAGUGCAGGGCGUCUUCACUGAUCAGUUUUCAACCUUGCUUUCUUAAAGGUACGUAUGCUCAUGAUCUCUUAAAGAUCACGCAACGCUACAAAAGACAAUUGUCACCGGAUGGAGCCAUAUGCAACAGAGCCAUAUACGAUGGAGCCACCAGAUGGAGCCAUACGAAUAAAUGUUCCCCAUGUUCCCAGUUCGAACACCAAAAAUACAUCCCAAGACAAUAAAUGUUUAUCAGAUGUAUACAGUGUAGUCAUUUCUUCCCUAUGUUCGCAGUUGGAACACCAAAAAUACAUGGCAAGCCAAUUGUUCAGUAUACAUACCACAUCAAUUCUAAUGUUGUUGAAAAAUGAUAGGUACGAAUGGGAAAUGCAAAUAGCAAGGCGCCGGAAGAGAAAAGAGUGCCAGAUGUGCUUGUACCCCCUCUUGCUGACCUACAUUCACAAGGGAGCCAAGGUACGUUAGAAUAACAUAAAUGAGUCAGAUGUCAAGGGUGCCCAACAAUCAUUGUAUCUCGCUAAUGUGUUCCAGGCCAUAAUGUUGACGGAAGUUUUGAUGAAUACAACCCAGCAAUAAUUCCCGUAGCUGACAAUGUUGACAAUUAUCAAUUGACUCCAGGUAUUGGAGUCUGUAAAUACCCCUAUCUGUUGUAUCAUAUGGUUUUAACAUGAUCAAUCGUGCCUAACAGACUUGGAAGCACACAAGGAAACAGAUGGAACUGGCAUGCCACGGAUAGAGCAGGACGAGCUUGCAAACCUAACCAAACACCCUCUUUCUGAUAUAACAAUUGCUGAUCAGCCUGGGCAUGUGAGUUUACGUACGUGGGUUCCAUAUUUAAACACACUAUCUACCCUAUUCGGUUAGCAAGAAACUGCCUCAUUCUGUACUGGUUUUGUUUUGUAGACAACCCAUCAAUCUCCAUUGUAGCCCUGAUGUUGCUUCGUUCCCUGAUCCGAGUACUCUCACAGAUAUUUUUGCCUGCGGCCUUGCAGGAAGUUUAUUUGGUAUGAUCUGACACGUGCAUCAUGGACAGUGAUAAACGUCUCUAUGAAUGUACAUGUUGACUAAUUCUCAUCAAGAUUUGUUGUUUAUACAUCGUGCAGACAAUAAUGUGCCUUCAUUCCCGGAUAGGAGUACUCUUGCAUCACUUUAUGCCUCAGGUCACUUUAUGCCUUUCAAAUGUCCAGAUUUGUGCUUAAAGGGAUGCAUGUUCAUGUAUUAGCCUAACCGACAUAUUUUCUUUUGUUCCUGCAGCCAGAGAGUCUACCCACAGUGAUGUGUGUCUUAAUGCCCUUGGUUGUGGUGGUUCAGAGCUUGUGACAUCGUCUACCCCAACAUGUGAUGUAUACCCAAGUCAUUCCAAGACAACAUGUGCUGUUGUGAAUGACCAAGUGAGUUAAAGCGUAAAAGACGACAAAAGGGAGCGGAGAAACGCACGACGGCGAGCAACUUAUUGAAAGAAAAAGGAUGAACAGGUCAAGCUCCAAAAUGAAAAGCUGACUGUUUCUCGACCCCCUCUUGGUGAUAUCACUAAUAUUGAUCAGCCUUCCGGUUCAAUGCCAGGUACGGGUGUUUAAAGUUAUGAGCUUACGGCGGUGACAAACCAAAUUUGGGAAUCAAAUAUUAGAAUAUGCACUUUUAGCUUUGACUUACAAUAAUUGAUUCAAUAUGAAGUUAAAAACUGGAGUUUGAUAUAUGAACGGUCAAGAAAUGUCAUAUAUCGGAAUGCUUAAAAAAACAUCUGCGGUGUUAGAAAGACGUAAAUGGAUUUAAAAAAUUAAAUUAGAUUUACCGGCACUCAAGAAGGUGAAUAAUAUGAUAGAUGGUUCUCGAUUUGUCAGAAAAAGAAACAAAUGUGGAGUAUGAAACAUUAACUAUCACAACGUCAGUAGCAAACGUUGAUAUGAAAUAGAUGUAUAGUACCCAAGAUGGGUAUAUUAUCAAUUGGGCCAAGUUCUCCAUUGGCACUGCAUGUAUUUUUUUCUCUCGUUGCAAUGGCAAAAUAGAAGAAUUUUGCAAAAUAGAAGAAUUUAUGUAAGCGGACUUGCCAAUGUUCACCAGAUCAACGCACCUCCCACCACCCCGUACCACUAGUUUUAAACUACAUAUCGACAAAAAACCAGAUCGACGCACCAACGAGGACCCGAUCCACUCCUCGUUUCCCACGUUCGUCCUGGAUCACGAGAACGCCGCCGCCGCUGCCGCCUCACAUACGUCGCCCAUGGCGGAUCACGAACAAUACCGUCGCGGAUCAGCAGGCCGCCGCCUUAGGUACCCACACACCACGAUCCAGUCGCGGAUCAGCAGGCCGCCGCCACCGCCAAGUCAGGUACCCACACACCACGAUCCUGUCGCGGGUCAGCAAGACACCGCCGCCACCGCCUCGGGCAGCCACACGCCACAGAUCUCCGACGACGACGCCUACGGCGGCAAGCAGUGCAGGGCGUCUUCACUGAUCAGUUUUCAACCUUGCUUUCUUAAAGGUACAUACGCUCAUGAUCUCUUAAAGAUCACGCAACGCUACAAAAGACAAUUGUCACCAGAUGGAGCCAUAUGCAAUAGAGCCAUAUAUGAUGGAGCCACCAGAUGGAGCCAUACGAAUAAAUGUUCCCCAUGUUCCCAGUUCGAACACCAAAAAUACAUCCCAAGACAAUAGAUGUUUAUCAGAUGUAUACACUGUAGUCAUUUCUUCCCUAUGUUCGCAGUUGGAACACCAAAAAUAUAUGGCAAGCCAAUUGUUCAGUAUACAUACCACAUCAAUUCUAAUGUUGUUGAAAAAUGAUAGGUACGAAUGGGAAAUGCAAAUAGCAAGGCGUCGGAAGAGAAAAGAGUGUCAGAUGUGCCUGUACCCCCUCUUGCCGACCUACAUUCACAAGGGAGCCAAGGUACGUUAGAAUAACAUAAAUGAGUCAGAUGUCAAGGGUGCCCAACAAUCAUUGUAUCUCGCUAAUGUGUUCCAGGCCAUAAUGUUGAUGGAAGUGUUGAUUAAUACAACCCAAGAAUAAUUCCCGUAGCUGACAAUGUUGACAAUUAUCAAAUGACUCCAGGUAUUGGAGUCUGUAAAUUACCCUAUCUGUUUUAUCAUAUGGUUUUAACAUGAUCAAUCGUGCCUAACAGACUUGGAAGCACACAAGGAAACAGAUGGAACUGGCAUGCCACGGAUAGAGCAGGACGAGCUUGCAAACCUAACCAAACACCCUCUUUCUGAUAUAACAAUUGCUGAUCACCCUGGGCAUGCAAGUUUACGUACGUGGGUUCCAUAUUUAAACACACUAUCUACCCUAUUCGGUUAGCAGGAAACUGCCUCAUUCUGUACUGGUUUUGUUUUGUAGACAACCCAUCAAUCUCCUUCUGUAGCCCUGAUGUUGCUUCGUUCACUGAUCCGAGUACUCUCACAGAUAUUUUUGCCUGCGGCCUUGCAGGAAGUUCAUUUGGUAUGAUCUGACACGUGCAUCAUGGACAGUGAUCAAACGUCUCUAUGAAUGUACAUGUUGACUAAUUCUCAUCAAGAUUUGUUGUUUAUACAUCGUGCAGACAAUAAUGUGCCUUCGUUCCCGGAUAGGAGUACUCUUGCAUCACUUUAUGCCGCAGGUCACUUUAUGCCUUUCAUAUGGCCAGAUUUGUGCUUAAAGGGAUGCAUGUUCAUGUAUUAGCCUAACCGACAUAUUUUCUUUUGUUCCUGCAGCCAGAGAGUCUGCCCACAAUGAUGUGUGUCUUAAUGCCCUUGGUUGUGGUGGUUCAGAGCUUGUGACAUCGUCUACCCCAACAUGUGAUGUAUACCCAACUCAUUCCGAGACAACAUGUGCUAUUGUGAAUGACCAAGUGAGUUAUAGCAUAACAGACGACAAAAGGGAGCAGAGAAACGCACGACGGCGAGCAACUUAUCGAAAGAAAAAGGAUGAACAGGUCAAGCUCCAAAAUGAAAAGCAGGUUGUUUCCCGACCCCCUCUUGGUGAUAUCACUAAUAUUGAUCAGCCUUCCGUUUCAAUGCCAGGUACGGGUGUUUAAAGUUAUGAGCUUACGGCGGUGACAAACCAAAUUUGGGAAUCAAAUAUUAGAAUACGCACUUUUAGCUUUGACUUACAAUAAUUGAUUCGAUAUGAAGUUAAAAACUGGAGUUUGAUAUAUGAACGGUCAAGAAAUGUCAUAUAGCGGAAUGCUUAAAAAAACAUCUGCGGUGUUAGAAAGACGUAAAUGGAUUUAUAAAAUUAAAUUAGAUUUACCAGCACUCAAGAAGGUGAAUAAUAUGAUAGAUGGUUCUCGAUUUGUCGGAAAAAGAAACAAAUGUGGAGUAUGAAACAUUAACUAUCACAACGUCAGUAGCAAACGUUGAUAUGAAAUAGAUGUAUAGUACCCAAGAUGGGUAUAUUAUCAAUUGGGCCAAGUUCUCCAUUGGCACUCCAUGUAUUUUUUUCUCUCGUUGCAAUGGCAAAAUAGAAGAAUUUAUGUAAGCGGACUUGCCAAUGUUCAGAAUACAUAUGGUUCUAAACUUCUUCAGAUUAGCAUAAAGAGCAAUCAAUCAUAGUUUGCUAACCUGAAGAAUAUACUGACACCUUUAACUGUAUUCUGAAAGAGCAUUUUACUUCUACAUGCGAGAACAAGUAUUAGACAAAUUUGAUGUUACCUCAGCAGUGAGCUACACAUUAGUGUAUUUCUUGCCAAUAACAGAGGUAUAACACUGAAUGGCACGGUUGUGUAUUUCUUGCCAAAAGUUCCUUUAACAAACCUGCAAGUAAAUGCCACUUGAAAUUAGAUGAUCAUUACAAAAUACCGCAGGAUUUCACAUCAACUCACUGUAGUACGAAAUACAUGCUGGCUAGACAAGAAAUAUUAGGGCAUUUACAAACGAAGUAUAUGGAACAAAAAAUGGCUGAAGAAAACAGUAGACGUGUUGGCUUAGUUCGGGAUCUUCAUGAUUGUUGAGCAUUGAUGAGAUGAUUAUGUUUUAACUUUAUUGUUGUACCAGCCAACCCAUCAAACCGGAACUAUACAUCCCGGCCCCCUCUUGGUGAUAUCACUAAUAUUGAUCAGCCUUCCGGUUCGCUGCCAGGUAUGGGUGUUUAAACUUUUAACAUAACAAUGAUAAUAUAGAUUCAUUUAUUGUACCCAUCGAGCUUGAACUAUACAUCCUUGUCACAUGAUGAUGCUCCAGAAGAUGGAUCCGCAUCAGCCAUUGCUGAAUUCAAUCAUGAAAAAGAGUUGGCUAGGAGGCAACGUGCAAGAGACCGCAGUAGUAAUAUGGCAGACGAACAAAGGGAGCGAAGAAAUGCACAGAGACGGGCAUCUUAUCUGAAGAAAAAGGAAGAGGGUACGAUCAACCUCCAAAACAAUAAUCAAGUGCAGCGUGAGUGACGAAAGGAACAACGAAACAGCAGGACCCCUGAUGAGCAGGGGGAGUCAAGUACGAAGAGAAAGGCAGACUAUGCUAGAAGGAAAAACACCCCGUGUGCUGAAUCGAUUGCAAUGCCACGUCCAGAUCUAACUAGCGCAUUGUCCAACUCUCCCUCUUUCAACACUCACGCCAAUUGUCCGACCCUCACACUUCCAACCAUCACGCAACAAUCCAGCAGUGAACAGAUAGAUCGUGCUACAACUGUCAAGUCGGCCCCCACAUACAUUCGCAACACCGAAACCGAUGGUAGUUAUCCCAUCAACGAUCAUCUUUCAUUUUGUAAUCAUUCAUCGGUUAUUUAUACCAAAUUCGAUAAUGUUGUAGGUGCAUACCUAAGCAGAACCUUAGGUGAUGGUGCUGUAGAUGGCGACCUCAUCGAAACCAGUGAUCCGGUAACAAUUGCGGAUAAUGGAGUUGACGAGCAGAGUCAUGAGUCCAGAGCUCGGCAUAGGACAAGAGAGCGAGCUUGCAAGGGAAGUAUGGCGGCGAUGAAGUGUCAGGAGAAAAUUGGCAAGCGAAAAAUAUGUACGCAACUGCCACGUGGUGAGAGGAAUGCUCUGCUAGAUCGUCGUAAUGAAAGGUUUGCAGGUAGGGUUAAUACCCCAACCGUCAGGUCCAUCUCCAUACCGAAAAUGAGCUCAACGGGACAACCUACCGUAGUUGAAGCACACAGUGCCUCAACAUCAUCUAGCACGCCGGAGUACACGAUCAGAAGUGAAGGUAACACCCCCAUCCUUACUCUCCUUGCGUCCCUUGAGACUGAACCCUCAUUUGUGUUGUUUGGCACCUGGGCAGACGACAUGGACGCUUACCUCAAUGGUUUCAUGAAUGAUGAUGUCAAUCCUGACGACCUCUUUGACGAUGAAUAUUACCUGUUUGCUGGUGAAGGUAUGUACAAUCGCUUGAGCGUAAUCCACAUGUUGGGGGUAUCACACUAAUUGGAAACAUUGUUUGCAGGCUCAGAUGCUGAUGACUUGGAGCACGACGAAUUGGAAGACUCAAAUCACAAAAACUAUGGAGACCAUGAUCCAUUUGACUAUGUGUACUCAAACCUACCAGACAACACACACAUCCUGAAGCACGCCGCAAACUGCGACCACUGCAAGGCCAAGAAGUUUGUCAGCGAGGCCCCGGGAUUCUGCUGUCGCAGUGGGAAGAUCGAGUUGAAGCAACCGGAGCCCAUCACGGAGCUCAUGAGGCUUUGGUCUAGCACUGAUGCGGACACUAGGCAUUUUCGGGAGAACAUACGGUUCUUCAAUGGACACUUUUGCUUCACAACCCUCGGCGUCAGCCUCGAUGAAACAUACACAAACAUGAAGUCUGGGUGUACACGUUCCGGGCGCAUGGCACCAUCUACCACAACGGUCAUUCCUUCGAACCAACAUCCCGUCCAGAUCAUCUACAGUUGUACUUCUACGACGACGACCCAGGCCUAACCCAUCGCAAGGCUGCCACCGAGAAAUUAGACCAGGAUGUCGUCAAAAAGUUGGUGCACAUACUCAGGGAAAACCCGUACUCUCAGCAGUUUAGGAGUUUGGGUGCGCACAGAGACAACCUCGACAAUUACAGGAUAGACCUCAACACUAACCAGAGACUAGACCAACGGAAGUAUAAUAGACCUCUGUCAUCUGAGGUCGCUGCAAUUUGGGUGGAGGGCACUGACCUAGCGAAGAGAUUCGAUCGUAGGAUUACACUUUGCGGGAACGACAACCAGAGGCACAGUAUACAUGUGACGGCUGGCUCGUAUGACCCGCUCUCUUACCCACUCUUCUACCCAAGGGGGGAGCUCGGUUGGCACCCGAAACUACCUAAACGUAAUGUCCCUUGGCCGGUUGUGCAACAACCAAGAGGUGGACAUGAUGAUGAUGAUGAUGAGGAGGAGGAGGAUGCACGUAAGCCUUAUGUGUAUUCUGUCAUUUUGAUGUAUUGUGUAGUUCUCAUAUGAAUUCUAACUUCCGCACUACUCAUCCAUGUGCAGAGGGGAAUAGCAGGUUAUGCGUCUCCGUGAGAGACUACUACUGUUACAUGCUGCAGACACGGCCUGGGAUAUUCAAUCCCAUACUCUGUGGAGCACGAUUGCUACAGCAAUGGGGGGCGGACAUGUACAUCAAGAUUGAGAGUUGUAGGUUGAAAUGGUACAGGAAGAACCAGACAAAGAUCCGUGCCGACCUGUAUAAAGGAGUUGUUGAUGCAAUUACAUCCGGGGAGACCCGGGCAAGCGCUGUUAGAGUAAGGAUAGUGCUCCCUGGAACGUACCCAGGUGGCGACCGUGACAUGAAGCGGAGGCAUAUGGAUGCCAUGGCAAUUGUCCAUACGUACGGGAAGCCUGACAUCUUCUUGACCAUGACCUGCAACCCUAACUGGGAAGAGAUAACGAAUGAGUUGUUUCCUGGUCAGACAGCGCAAGAUCGACCUGAUCUUGUGGCUCGUGUGUUCCAUGGCAAGCUAGAGGCUAUGAAAGAGAUCUUGUUCAAGAAGAAUAUCCUAGGUGUUGUUGUCGCACAUGUAUAUGUAGUCGAGUUCCAGAAGAGGGGCCUCCCCCAUGCACACUUUUUGUUGAUCAUGGAUUCUGCCUAUAAGCUUGUCGUUCCAGAGCAGUACGACCGACUCAUUUCUGCCGAGCUCCCAGACAAACAGAAGUAUCCUGAACUCCACACCUUGGUGGUGAAACAUAUGAUGCACGGACCAUGCGGUGCUCUCAACCCCAAAAAUGUGUGCAUGCAACAGAACGUGUGCAAGUGCAGAUACCCACGGCCGUUCAAUGAAAACACGGCACAGGGCAAGGACUCAUACCCAGUUUAUCGUCGUCGAGAUGAUGGUCGGCAGGCUAAGGUCCAUGGUAAAAUGUUGGACAACAGAUGGGUUGUGCCAUAUAACCCUUACCUUCUGCGGAUGUUCAAUUGCCACAUCAACGUUGAGGUUUGCUCCAGCAUAAAGGUCGUCAAAUACCUUUACAAGUACAUAUACAAGGGCCAUGGUAGGGCUUCUUUCAGCAUCGACCAGCCCGACGCCGAUGGUAACAUUGAUGAGAUCAAAAGAUACGUAGACGCGAGGUGGGUUACUCCUCCAGAGGCGAUGUGGAGGAUAUUUGGCUUCCCCUUGUGUGCAAAUGACCCGCCUGUCCUAUAGUUGCCUCUUCAUCUCCCGAAUAUGCACAGGGUGGCCUUCAAUGAGCAAGCUCACUUGACCGACGUAGUCACCUCUGAGAAUGCUUCCAAAUCCAUGUUAACAGAGUAUUUCAAAGCUAACCAAAACCACCCCUGGGAUAGGAAUAUAUUGUACAAGGAUUUUCCUGGAAGGUUCACAUGGCAGAAGGGUAAGAAGUAUUGGAAAGAGCGGGUGGAGCAUUAUCAGAUAGGUCGAAUUGUGUCUGCCAAUCCUGCCGAGGGGGAGCGAUAUUAUCUGCGUGUGCUGCUAAACCAUGUUAUUGGCAAGACAUCCUAUGAGGACCUGCUCACCGUGGACGGUAGGCUAUGCGGGAGCUUUAGAGAGGCUGCCGAAAGGUUGGGACUCAUCGAGGCAGAUAACACGCUCGACGACUGUCUUACCGAGGCAGAGCAAUGGGCGAUGCCAUGUUCGCUCAGGAGGCUCUUCGCAACAAUUUUGGUGCACUGUGAGCCAGGCGACGUGCGUGGUUUAUGGGAUAGGCACCUCGAGCCUAUGUCUGAUGACUAUCGGCGAUCACACACAUGCCCUAUUGAGGUGGAACAGAUGGUGUUGCUUAACAUUUGGGGUAUGUUGCAGUCCAUGGGCAAAGACAUAGCUGAUUUCGCUCUUCCAUGCAUUGACGAUGCGUUCGACCCAACCAAGGGCGAGGCCAGAGAAGUGAUCGAGGAAUCCAACAUCGAUUUUGACAUCAACGACACUAAAUUGGCAUCGUCGCUAAACUUCGAGCAGAGGGUUGCAUACGACGAGAUACUAGCUGCUGUUGAUGGCGUUGAUGGGGGUGUGUUCUUUGUUGAUGGCCCGGGAGGUACAGGGAAGACCUUCCUGUACAGGGCGCUGCUUGCCAAGGUUCGAAGCGAGGGAAACAUCGCUAUCGCUACCGCGACGUCAGGCGUCGCGGCUUCUAUCAUGCCUGGAGGCAGGACUGCCCACUGUAGUUCAAGAUCCCAUUGAGUUGCGAUGAUGGCGCCUCCUGCACCUUCAUGAAGCAGAGUGGUACCGCCAAGCUACUGAGGAUGGCCUCAUUGAUACUAUGGGACGAGGCCACCAUGACUAAGCGACAGGCGGUCGAGGCACUGGACAACAGCAUGCGCGACAUCAUGGGAAGACGGGACCGACCCUUUGAAGGAAAAACUGUUGUGUUUGGCGGGGACUUCAGGCAGGUGCUUCCGGUCAUCGGGAGGGGGUCCCGGGGUCAGAUAAUUGAUGCAACCCUCCGAAGUUCACAUCUCUGGAAGGGUAUGCGCCAGCUAAGGCUCGUCACCAACAUGAGGGCUCAUAAUGACACCUGGUUUACGGAUUACUUGCUAAGGGUAGGCAAUGGCACUGAGGAAGUUGACGAUCAAGGAAACAUACGACUCCCUGAAGAUAUUUGUGUGCCAUCUACAGGCGAGGGUGACGACCUAGAGAAGCUGAUUGACCAUGUGUUUCCGAGACUAGAUGACAACAUGUCCGAUCCGAAUUACAUGACUUCACGCGCAAUCCUCUCCACCACAAAUGACAACGUCGACAAGAUAAACAUACGCAUGGUAGAGCGUUUUCGGGGAGAAGAAGUAAUAUACCAUAGCUUUGACAGUGCAGAAGACGACCCAUAUGGCUACUACGCUCCCGAGUUCCUGAAUGGGUUGACUCCCAACGGUCUGCCUCCGCAUGCACUCAAACUGAAGCUCAACUGCCCUGUCAUACUUCUAAGGAACAUUGACCCGGCUAAUGGUCUGUGUAACGGGACGAGGCUUGUGGUCCGAGGUUUCGAGAGGAACGCCAUCGACGCAGAAAUCGUGAUCGGACAACACGUAGGUAGGAGGGUAUUCCUUCCUUGAAUACCCCUAUGCCCGUCUGACAAUGACAUGUUUCCAUUCAAGUUCAAGAGGAAGUAAUUUACUGUAAGGCUUAGCUUUGCUAUGACGAUUAACAAGGCUCAAGGACAGACGGUUCCGAUUGUUGGCAUGUACCUACCUAAUCCGGUGUUCUCUCAUGGUCAACUCUAUGUCGCGUUGUCUCGAGCCACCGCGAAGAGGAACAUAAAGAUCCUCAUUGAGAAGGAGAAGGAGAAGGAUAAUGGCAAGAAGCAAAGUGGUAAAUCAAAGAAGCGAAAAAGACCUUCCUUGUCCUUACAAACCUCGAUGAAGAACAUCGUCUAUAAGGAAGUCCUUACAGGCUGAAGUCCGCACUUACGAAACCGGUGGGUUUUGAAUAUGACAAUAGCAUUUACUCUUAUUCUACAGAUAAUUUGUUGCUCUGGAGCGCUUUUGUACAAAUGUUUAUCUUUGUUUCUUAUUUGACUGCAAUCUUUAAUUAAACAUGCACGACCACUAUCAGAUUAAGAAUGCCCAGCUUCAGUGGCGUUGCUACGGCCAGUGCACUUCAUCUUCAAUUUUAUCACGUUUUGCUCAGACUCUGAGGAUUUAGAGUAUGCAUCUAUACAGUUUUGGCAUCCAGUACACCUAUGAUUUGAACGUCUCGAGAUGUAGGUAUAGCCAAUAUGACCUGUUAGAUAAUAACAUGAUACGACCGCCCCCUAUUUUAAGUCUAUAUGUUUCAGUUUGGUUAGUAUACACUAGACAGAUUUAAUUAUUGUGGCAUUUUUGUCUAUCAAUAAUGUGUGUGCAUGUUUUCCUUAAGGAAACAACAUAUAGUUGUCUUCAUCACCGGGAACACACUUUAGGUGCAGAUCAUGAUAUUUCAGUUGGGCAGUUUUGACAUGGUACAUUUUUUCAGUCAAUAUUUGUUUAUUCUCUUGUUUAUCUUAAGCAGCAGUACUUCUCUCUUCAAAUGACACUACGACACCGUAUAGAAGUUGCAUACAGUUCAGCCGUUACUAAUGUGACUACCAUUGAAAAUGCCGUGUCAGACUCGAAUCACAUCCUAAUAGUUGUUAUAAAAAAACGUACUAUUGCUUGCCCACACAUUGAAGUACUACAUUUUUUAUUACCAUGUAUUUCUAAAAACUUUGCUACCAUGCCGGUUUAUUGCUAAACUCGUAAAGGUUUUCAAAAUUAAAACUGUGGUUCCUAAACCCUGUUAUGCUUUUGUUUGCAGCACAAUAUGGAGAUGCACAGUUACCACUUACCAGUAAAAGUAGUUCCUGUUUUAAUUUUGAGUGAACUGUUUGUUUUGGCCACGAGAUACUUUUAAGUUUAAGGCAUUAAUUAGUUUUUCUUGAAUAACUUGUGGGUGCAUGCAGAAAACACAUACUUCAGCAUUUAAUUGAAAAGGCUACUAUUCGUAAAUAGUAGUCUCUGUUGUUUCUCUUAAAUAGAGAGCUCAUAGAAUGAAUAAACAGAAGUGUAGAUGUGAUGAAUAGAGUAGAUAGAAGUACUGAUCUUACAAUUCUGUCACGUGAAGUGCAUCAUCGAUUACGUGGCAGAAAACUCCUGUCCAAUUGAAGUGCAUGGAUUUUCUCAAGGUCAUCACGUCUGAAUGCAAACAAAAAUAAGAAGGAAUGUCAGGAUGUAGUUUGUUAAUUGUAAACAUAAAUAACAUGGUAGCAGCCGCUUCUUGUUUUGAAAAUUGCAGUGCUCGGUUGACUGUAUCAGAUUAAGAAUGCCCUUUCGACUAAUCCAAAAUUCGUGGCUGUAAUUUCAAAUUGCAGUGCUCGGUGACUAUAGCCAAGAAGUAAAAUUUCAUAUCGCCUAGCUAGCCUGAUGCAUAAUGAGUCAUUUGAAAUGCAGAUGAUGAAGGCAAACAAGUAUUCGUCUGUCAGUAAGUAAUAAUUCUGUUAAGAACAGAACUAAAGGCAAGAAGAGUGCAUGCCAGAAAAAAUUCAGAUAACUGCAGAAUAACGAAGCAUGCAUCUCUACUACGCCAUAUGUGCAUAAAGUUCGGCAACCAUUAAAUCCCUAGCCGGAAACUAAUGUGUGUCCCUAAACUUACAUGUGGUAGUUUACUUCGGCAUCGACUGAAACUGGCCUUGAUUUCAGGUAACUGAAACUUAGGAUGCGCAUUGAAACUUAGUAUUCCCAAUAGACUGCUCAGCUUCGAUAGAUGAAGGUUCUCCAUCAUUAGCCCUGUUCUCAUCAUCAUAUUUGGCUGAUUCUUGCCUUUGAUCUUGAACUACAGAAACCUGUAGUGUGGAUAUACUCAGUACAUACUGACUGACAAGGUAUCAGGAAAAUAAAGGAGUAGAAUACCAGAGUUUCAGAGGUAAAUAUUGACAGUAGCAGAUUAUAUUAUAUGCUUAUGAACAACUAACACUUGUAGGAAUAACUAAUACUAAUUUAGUACUAUGGAAAACACCACGGCUCAAAAAAAAACAAUUACCUAACUCGCAAACAAAUAAAACAAUCUACUAUAUAUGAAGAUCGAUCCGACCAUAAGGUCUCUGAUUAUGUUGGAUAUCCCUGUACUACCUCGAUGAUAUAUACUCCCUGUUUAUAAGUAUUAAAAAAUACAGUAGUCAAAUGUUUUAUACUCCCAUUCUGUCCCUCCCCUAAAAACUGAAUCACAGGGAUGUCAUUGUUCUGCUCCAACAGAACAAUUAUUCCAAUAGAACAAUUAUUCCAACAGACAAAACUAAUCUAACAGAACUUGUAAUCAGGAUGUCACAUUACAUAUGAAUCAACUUACCAUCAUUUGUUCAGAUGAUGCAAAAUAUUUGUGAGUAUAGGCCAUGUUACAAGCAGAAGAAAGUAAACAUGAAGAGCCUCACCAGCACGAUUGCGUGCAAGUGCCGGCGGUAGAGACGAUUG
Molecule: long non-coding RNA, 20959 nt
Filed under: Triticum aestivum (bread wheat)
Lineage: Eukaryota; Viridiplantae; Streptophyta; Magnoliopsida; Poales; Poaceae
Description: long non-coding RNA (TAES_LNC006497)
Source: RNAcentral